GGGGCCGAUUUGGAUUCGACGCCGGUUACAAAACUUGAGGUGCAUGUCGAGAGGGUAUAACGAUCUCGUAAAUCCCCGUUGUACAUUUAAAUAGUCGCAAACGACGAAACUUACGCACUAGCGGCUUAAGCCCGCUUACCUCCAAGACCAGUUUCCUGUUACUGGUGGCGGAGGGCGCAGCGAAACAGGAUCGCCACGGAGGCUUCGCUCGUAGCCAAAGGGUUAAAACCAAUCGAGAUCACCCCAAACACCCUGCCCUUCGGGUCGUGACGGGUUAAAUAAAUAGAUACGGCUAAACAUGUAGAUCUGAUAGCGGAGGAUUGGCGGACGGGGGUUCAAAUCCCCCCGGCUCCACCA
Molecule: transfer-messenger RNA, 357 nt
Filed under: Pseudomonadales
Lineage: Bacteria; Pseudomonadati; Pseudomonadota; Gammaproteobacteria
Also listed under: 1 other name
Description: JACKOM01 sp024234265 Standard tmRNA
Rfam family: transfer-messenger RNA
About the family: Bacterial tmRNA, also known as 10Sa RNA or SsrA, is named for its dual tRNA and mRNA-like properties. Its role is to liberate the mRNA from a stalled ribosome.
Source: RNAcentral